RNAcentral lists this ribosomal RNA (455 nucleotides) under uncultured bacterium. RNAcentral's name for it is "bacterial SSU rRNA". It matches the Rfam family "Bacterial small subunit ribosomal RNA", at positions 340 to 786 of the family's 1533-position model. The record is from RNAcentral.
UACGGGAGGCAGCAGUGGGGAAUAUUGCACAAUGGGCGCAAGCCUGAUGCAGCCAUGCCGCGUGUAUGAAGAAGGCCUUCGGGUUGUAAAGUACUUUCAGCGGGGAGGAAGGCGAUGCGGUUAAUAACCGCGUCGAUUGACGUUACCCGCAGAAGAAGCACCGGCUAACUCCGUGCCAGCAGCCGCGGUAAUACGGAGGGUGCAAGCGUUAAUCGGAAUUACUGGGCGUAAAGCGCACGCAGGCGGUCUGUUAAGUCAGAUGUGAAAUCCCCGGGCUUAACCUGGGAACUGCAUUUUGAACUGGCAGGCUUGAGUCUUGUAGAGGGGGUAGAAUUCCAGGUGUAGCGGUGAAAUGCGUAGAGAUCUGGAGGAAUACCGGUGGCGAAGGCGGCCCCUGGGACAAAGACUGACGCUCAGGUGCGAAAGCGUGGGGAGCAAACAGGGAUUAGGAUACC